GACGAACCGUGCGAACGUUGUUCGGAAUCACUGGGCUUAAAGGGCGCGUAGGCGGCCCGCACAAGUCUGCGGUGAAAACCCCCGGCUUAACCGGGGGCCGGCCGUGGAAACUGUCGGGCUGGAGGCUGGGAGAGGGCAGCGGAAUUCCCGGUGUAGCGGUGAAAUGCGUAGAGAUCGGGAGGAACACCGGCGGCGAAGGCGGCUGCCUGGACCAGUCCUGACGCUGAGGCGCGAAAGCUAGGGGAGCAAACAGG
RNAcentral lists this ribosomal RNA (254 nucleotides) under uncultured bacterium. Its description in RNAcentral is "partial 16S ribosomal RNA". It matches the Rfam family "Bacterial small subunit ribosomal RNA", at positions 524 to 776 of the family's 1533-position model. The record is from RNAcentral.